Non-coding RNA from Rattus norvegicus (Norway rat), 69 nucleotides. Lineage: Eukaryota; Metazoa; Chordata; Mammalia; Rodentia; Muridae. The record is from Rfam.
GGGGAUUUAGCUCAGUGGUAGAGCGCUUGCCUAGCAAGCACAAGGUCCUGGGUUCGGUCCCCAGCUUCG